CCGGCGAACGGGUGCGUAACACGUGAACAACCUGCCCUCGUGUGGGGGAUAGCCAUGCUAACGCGUGGGUAAUACCGCAUACGUUCCUCUGGGGGAGUCCCUGGGGGAGGAAAGCUCCGGCGCACGGGGAGGGGUUCGCGGCCUAUCAGCUAGUUGGCGGGGUAAUGGCCCGCCAAGGCGACGACGGGUAGCUGGUCUGAGAGGAUGGCCAGCCACAUUGGGACUGAGAGACGGCCCAG
RNAcentral lists this ribosomal RNA (239 nucleotides) under uncultured bacterium. RNAcentral describes it as "partial 16S ribosomal RNA". It matches the Rfam family "Bacterial small subunit ribosomal RNA", at positions 95 to 334 of the family's 1533-position model. The record is from RNAcentral.